UACGUAGGGGGCUAGCGUUGUCCGGAAUCAUUGGGCGUAAAGAGCGCGUAGGCGGCUAGAUAAGUCCGGUGUGAAAGUCACAGGCUCAACCUGUGAAUGCCGCUGGAAACUGUCUGGCUAGAGUCCGGAAGGGGCGAGUGGAAUUCCUGGUGUAGCGGUGAAAUGCGCAGAUAUCAGGAGGAACACCGAUGGCGAAGGCAGAUCUCUGGGCCGUAACUGACGCUGAGGAGCGAAAGCAUGGGGAGCGAACAGG
Molecule: ribosomal RNA, 253 nt
Filed under: uncultured bacterium
Lineage: Bacteria
Description: partial 16S ribosomal RNA
Rfam family: Bacterial small subunit ribosomal RNA
Source: RNAcentral